CCGCAGCUCUACCCCCCCUACAAGACCGGAUAUGACUGCAGGAUCAACAGACUCCUCUGGCCGGAGCAGUAAGAACCCUACAUACUGCCUACAAUGACUACAGUUUCACUGGAGGACUACAGGCAUCGAAUGGAGAACUGUUUCCACAAAUAAUAUGGCAUCAGACCGGCAACCGAUAACUACAAGAGCGUCUUGAAGGCUGUCCUGAUAAAUGGACUUUUGCCUCAUGUUAAAGAUGACCUGCAUUGGCUGGGAAACUACUACCCUACAAACAGUCAUUGAACACUGUAAACACGCUGAGAGGCAGCAACUCUCGAGAAGAAAAGACGAAACCAGAGAAUGAAAAGGAUGGUGUGAAACUACAAGCUGCCCAGCUAGCAUUCUCAAGGACCGGGCCAGCAGUGGCAGGCUCAGGGAGGACCUCAAAACGACGAACAGAAAGGAAAAGGAAGAAGUAGAGGGAGACAGUGCGGACGGACGGGCUGGACAACAGCAACCACAGCGUAUGAACUUUGCCUGCUCUAAUUGUGGAAAGAAUAGAUAUUUUGCUGUUGGAUCGGGCGGUGUCGGGCGUGGGGUAGGUAACUGGAGAACAGGACCGACACCAAAAACGACCAUCUACAACCCACACACAGACUGACGCGAGGUUGAGAGAGUUGACACUCUUGGACAGUGUUUAAAGAUUUUUCAAGCUCCCGUGAGGAGGCAAUGGUUUGUCUCUUCGUCAAUGAACCAAGGGGAGGACAGCUCCACAAAUCUUCAACCAGGCGAUUGGUUGGUCAUCAUGGACCUCCGCAGACAGACUUGGCACCAACAGCGCUGGACUGGUCCAUUCCAGGUGCUCCUGACUGCCCAGGCAGGUUGCAGAGAGGUCUACAUGGGUUCACUUCAGCCAUUGCAGCUGUUGUAUGGGCCCUGGGAGAAGUGGCCACAAUGCAACUAAAGUAUACAUCACCAGCAUAGUCCCACGGCAGGACUUAAAUAACAGCCGCUCUAUCUCUGAAGACCAUCCAGUUUCUAUUUGCCAAUAUAUUUUUAACUGUGCUGUAUCACAAAAGUUCUGAACCUAUAUACAUUUUACAGAUACAGUAUAUUUUACAUUAGCUAUCGUGUUGUUUUUAGUCCCACCCUUCAGUUCCACUCAACUCCUCCCAUCUAUCUCAACACAAUCCAUUUUGAUUACUAUUUUUCCAUAUUUUUCACCUGUGCUGUGAUGUUUCGCAAAAUUGCUAAACCUUUCUAUUCUUAUAGUUUCUACAGAUUGUACAUAAAAACAUAUUUGCUAAAAGUAUUAUUAUACUGUAUUAUUGAUUGAUUGACGAUUACUUUUCAAAUCACCCAGCAGUGCUAUUUGCAGAGUUAGCUCAAGGUAAAUGUUGCAAUUCUUCAGCCAUUCCUGGACUUGUGACCAAAACCAAGCUAAAUACAGUGUUUCCUUUUUUAAAAAGUUGCAUCAUACUGCAGCACACCUUACGGGCUGCUACAGCAUUCUAAGGCACGUUAUUGAAUUGUGAGCCAUUUUUUCUGUUAAUGCAAGUUAGUGCUAGUUUGACCACCAGAGGGCAUCUUUGAGAAUAAUUUGAUAGCCUUCCAUAUUGGCAUUACCAGAUCAUUUAAAAAUGUUUUUUGUAAUAACAUAGUAUAUGGGAUUAAUUUAAAGAAAUUUGGCUUAAUUCAUUUGAUAAAUAUUAUGGUGUUUCUAUUCUGAGAAAUAGCAAGGCACACCAAGCAAGCGGCAUCUUGAAGACCAAGGAGCUCUCCAAACAGGUCAUGGACAAAGCUAUGGAGAAGUACAAAUCAGGGUUGGGUUAUAAAAAAAUAUCUGAAACUUUGAACAUCCAUUAAAUCCAUUAUUUAAAAAAGGGAAAGAAUAUGGCACACAACAAACCUGCCAAGAGAGGGCCACCCACCAAAACUCCCGAACCAGGCAAGGAGGGCAUUAAUCAGAGAGGCAAAAAAGAUAACCCUGAAGGAGCUGCAAAGCUCCACAGCGGAGAUUGGAGUAUCUUGCCAUACGACCACUUUAAGCCGUACACUCCACAUAGCUACUCUUUACGGAAGAUUGGCCAGAAAAAAAAGCCAUUGCUUAAAAAAAAGAAACAAACAAGUUUGGCGUUCACCAAAAAGGCAUGUGGGAGACUCCCCAAACAUAUGAAAGAUGGUACUCUGGUUAGAUGAUACAUUUAGCUCAUCACCCCGACAACCACAUCCACACAGUGAAGCAUGGUGGUGGAAGCAUCAUGCUGUGGAGAUGUUUUUUAUCGGCAGGGACUGGAAAACUGGUCAAAAUUGAAGGAAUGAUGGAUGGCGCUAAACACAGGGAAAUUCUUGAGGGAAACCUGUUUCAGUCUUCAAGAGAUUUGAGACUGGGAUGGAGGUUCACCUUCGAGCAGGACAAUGACCCUAAGCAUACUGCUAAAGCAACACUCGAGUGGUUUAAGGGGAAACAUUUAAAUGGCUUGGAAUGGACCAGUCAAAGCCCAGACCUCAAUCCAAUUGAGAAUCUGUGGUAUGACUUAAAGAUUGCUUUACACCAGUGGAACCCAUCCAACUUGAAGGAGUUGUAGCAGUUUUGCCUUGAAGAAUGGGAAAAAAUCCCAAUGGCUAGAUGUGCCAAGCUUAUAGAGACAUACCCCAAGAGACUUGCAGCUGUAAUUGCUGAAAAAGGUGGCUCUACAAAGUAUUGACUUUGGGGGGGUGAAUAGUUAUGCACUCUCAAGUUUUACGUUUUUUUGUCUUAUUUCUUGUUUGUUUCACAAUAAUAAAUAUUUUGCUUCUUCAAAGUGGUAGGCAUGUUGUGUAAAUCAAAUUAAACAAACCCCCCAAAAAUCUAUUUUAAUUCCAGGGUUGUAAGGCAACAAUAUAGGAAAAAUGCCAAGGGGGGUGAAUAUUUUCGCAAGCCACUGUAAGUCAGAGAGGUGUUUCUGGGACCACAUUGUUUAUUUCUAGGUAGGAUUAUAGCAAUAUUUUGUUACCUUUAUGCCUAUUUACAUGUAUAUUUCUAUUAUUGUACCUAAUGUUGGCUGUUAGGCUAAAUGUAUUUUUUUCUUCUCCAAAUGCAGACAAUGACCCAGAACACACUGCCACCCGGCUUUGCAUUGUAAAUGAGGGCAUAAACUGGGUCAAGACGCCAGCAGAGCCUCCUGAUUUAAACCCGAUCUAACUUGUUUGGCAUCAACUGAAAACAUUAAUCCGUAGCUCUGACAAGCAAAGAUGAACUGGUCAAGGCCAUCAAGAUGUUGUGGCUAGAGAAAUUGAUGAAACAACAAUGCAACAAAUACAUUGAUCAUCUCAGCAAGGUUUUACCUGUGGUCGUGGAGCUGGGUGGAAGUGCGACUAAAAUGGAGUUUAAAUAAACAUCUGCAUUUUAAUGUAUGCUCGUUAUUUUAUUAGCAAAAGCAUAAAGAUGUUGGUGAAGAAAUACUGUACACUGUUGUUUUUAGUUAGAAAUGUAACACUUUAGAGUACUUAAGCAUCGAAUACAUUGGAAGUUGGGGGAUUUUCACUCCAAUAGCUGGGCUAUAAAAAGUCUAUUGUCCUGCUAAUAGGAAACAUUUGCAUGAUGGGCUACACCUGCUACAGUACACUUGUGAAAAACAAGUGUUUGAAAACCUUUUUCAAAAUGCCUCCAGUUGUCCAUCACUACCCUAAAUAAAAACACAGCAUCUUGUUUA
This is a long non-coding RNA of Oncorhynchus nerka (sockeye salmon), 3674 nucleotides long. RefSeq lists it as uncharacterized. The record is from RefSeq and is a predicted model, not a curated record. The transcript has 3 exons. Lineage: Eukaryota; Metazoa; Chordata; Actinopteri; Salmoniformes; Salmonidae.